RNAcentral lists this long non-coding RNA (258 nucleotides) under Vigna radiata. RNAcentral describes it as "long non-coding RNA (VRAD_LNC004629)". Lineage: Eukaryota; Viridiplantae; Streptophyta; Magnoliopsida; Fabales; Fabaceae. The record is from RNAcentral.
GAAAAUCAAACACUGGUUUUUAUACUGGUUCGGCCAACAAUGUGUAUAUCUAGUGUCCUUCCAAUUUUGGAAGCAAAUGCACUAUAAUGGUUGCGAUUUUUACAACAAGGAAUUUAUAGAAGCACCACGCAAAAAUAUAAAUCUCCUCUCUAACCCAAAACCAAAUAUAGCUGCACACACAAAACCAGAAUUGUAGCAAGAAUCCCCUCUUCUGCAAUCUGAACCCACAUCGAACAAUCCUCAACGUGUAACCAGCAC